UACGUAGGGAGCGAGCGUUGUCCGGAAUUACUGGGUGUAAAGGGAGUGUAGGCGGGACGGCAAGUCAGAUGUGAAAUUUAGGGGCUCAACCCCUGACCUGCAUUUGAAACUGCUGUUCUUGAGUGAAGUAGAGGUAAGCGGAAUUCCUAGUGUAGCGGUGAAAUGCGUAGAUAUUAGGAGGAACAUCAGUGGCGAAGGCGGCUUACUGGGCUUUAACUGACGCUGAGGCUCGAAAGCGUGGGGAGCAAACAGG
RNAcentral lists this ribosomal RNA (253 nucleotides) under Hominimerdicola alba 7 = DSM 20455. Its description in RNAcentral is "Ruminococcus albus 7 = DSM 20455 partial 16S ribosomal RNA". It matches the Rfam family "Bacterial small subunit ribosomal RNA", at positions 524 to 776 of the family's 1533-position model. The record is from RNAcentral. Lineage: Bacteria; Bacillati; Bacillota; Clostridia; Eubacteriales; Oscillospiraceae.